RNAcentral lists this non-coding RNA (211 nucleotides) under Bacillus gobiensis. RNAcentral describes it as "T-box sequence". It matches the Rfam family "T-box leader". Rfam says of the family: Uncharged tRNA acts as the effector for transcription antitermination of genes in the T-box leader family. T-boxes are found upstream of many aminoacyl-tRNA synthetase genes and some amino acid biosynthetic genes usually in Gram-positive bacteria. The anticodon of a specific tRNA base pairs to a specifier sequence within the T-box motif, and the NCCA acceptor tail of the tRNA base pairs to a conserved bulge in the T-box antiterminator hairpin. Lineage: Bacteria; Bacillati; Bacillota; Bacilli; Caryophanales; Bacillaceae. The record is from RNAcentral.
GUAAGAACAUUGAAGAGGAAUAGUAAGAAACUGGCUUUUUCUAGAGAAUUGGCGGUUGGUGCAAGUCAAUAUUAAGCUUAUUCUGAACUCGCCUCGGAGUUGCAAUGUUUCAUAAAGCAUUGCCGUCCAUCAACGUUAUUGAUAUCAAGUGAGUAUGCGUUUUUUGUAUGCUAACAAGGGUGGUACCGCGGGAAACCCUCUCGUCCCUUUU